This is an unclassified non-coding RNA of Prolemur simus (greater bamboo lemur), 203 nucleotides long. NCBI's taxonomy places the organism in Eukaryota, Metazoa, Chordata, Mammalia, Primates, Lemuridae. The record is from Ensembl.
CAGCAGCUGUCACUUCUCCUUCUCCCAACACAUACUUCCCAGAUGCCUUCUGAAGUGUUGAUAUUAAAGAGAUAAGCCUCUCCAAAGGCUUAUCAAAACCAUAGAAAGUUGAAAAGAGAAACUUCUUUAAAUGCCAGUUUAUUAAGAAGAACGAAAGCAUAUGAAAUCAGCAUCAAGGAUCUCAGCGCACAUUCCUGACACUG